CAGUAGCCACGGUAAUACGGAGGAUCCAAGCGUUAUCCGGAAUCAUUGGGUUUAAAGGGUCCGUAGGCGGUCUUGUAAGUCAGUGGUGAAAGCCCAUCGCUCAACGGUGGAACGGCCAUUGAUACUGCAGGACUUGAAUUAUUGGGAAGUAACUAGAAUAUGUAGUGUAGCGGUGAAAUGCUUAGAGAUUACAUGGAAUACCAAUUGCGAAGGCAGGUUACUACCAAUUGAUUGACGCUGAUGGACGAAAGCGUGGGUAGCGAACAGGAUUAGAUACCCCGGUAGUCCCUGUCUCUUAUAA
RNAcentral lists this ribosomal RNA (301 nucleotides) under uncultured bacterium. RNAcentral describes it as "partial 16S ribosomal RNA". It matches the Rfam family "Bacterial small subunit ribosomal RNA", at positions 509 to 809 of the family's 1533-position model. The record is from RNAcentral.